AUACGUAGGGGGCUAGCGUUAUCCGGAUUUACUGGGCGUAAAGGGUGCGUAGGUGGUUUUUUAAGUCAGGAGUGAAAGGCUACGGCUCAACCGUAGUAAGCUCUUGAAACUGGAAAACUUGAGUGCAGGAGAGGAAAGUGGAAUUCCUAGUGUAGCGGUGAAAUGCGUAGAUAUUAGGAGGAACACCAGUAGCGAAGGCGGCUUUCUGGACUGUAACUGACACUGAGGCACGAAAGCGUGGGGAGCAAACAGGAUUAGAUACCCUGGUAGUCCACGCCGUAAACGAUGAGUACUAGGUGUCGGGGGUUACCCCCCUCGGUGCCGCAGCUAACGCAUUAAGUACUCCGCCUGGGGAGUACGCUCGCAAGAGUGAAACUCAAAUGAAUUGACGGGG
Molecule: ribosomal RNA, 394 nt
Filed under: uncultured bacterium
Lineage: Bacteria
Description: partial 16S ribosomal RNA
Rfam family: Bacterial small subunit ribosomal RNA
Source: RNAcentral